Molecule: long non-coding RNA, 609 nt
Organism: Glycine soja
Lineage: Eukaryota; Viridiplantae; Streptophyta; Magnoliopsida; Fabales; Fabaceae
Exons: 2
Source: RefSeq, a predicted model, not a curated record
AUUAAUAUGCAUGUCCAAGUCCAACAUACAAUGAUUUCAUCACCUCCUACACCUCCCUCUCCCCUUCCCAUUAGUUUUGGACCAGGCAACCGGACAUACUCCUUCUCAGUAUCUUCAACUACUUCCCCACCUUUCUCGCUCGUUCCUUCCUCCCCAUCUGAUGACAAUCUUCCCCUAAUUCUGCACAAGAUCACUAAUGUUCCAUCAUCAAUAUUUUCAUUGGAUCACCAGCAAUUCCAAUCCAAGACUCCAUGCCUCAAGGACUUGUAAGUCAUGCAAGUUGGAAUGGUUUAUACAAAGAUGUUGCAGUUGCUGUAACAAAUUUCCUUGAAUCAUCCUAACGACACACAACAUCUCAAGUGUUCAACAGAAUUUGUUCCCAGUGGUUAUUAUAUACUUAGGCAUUCAAUCUCCUUAACCGUUUUCAUUUUGCCAACUGUAUUCUCAUUUAAUAAUUAUGUGUCUCUUAUUAUUUCUCUUCUCUACCUAUCAUAAUUCUCUGGAUACCCGUGCUGAUAGCUCGUUUCAUCAGUUUAGCAUUUCUUAACAGUGCUGCUGGUGCAUCGAAGCUUAAGAAUCUAUUAAAAUCCAAAUAAAAUAGAUAGAAAA